CGGGGAGCCUGUUUGCCCAAGCCCUUUCAUCUUUGAUUUUGAGCAGCCAACAUUUACCGAGGAAAAUAUCAAAGAGCUUAUCUGGAGGGAAUCUGUAAAAUUCAAUCCUGAUCCUUGAGAAUUGUCCGAUACUCUAUGAUUCCCAUUUUCUUCAUAAAUAUAUAGAACCCAUCAGAGUCUAUAGGGAAUGAAGAAAAGAACUCACUGGGUAUAUUGGGAUUCACUCACAUGUAACAUAUAGUUGAUUCUUUUCAUCACGUAUCUUUUAAGAUAUCGAAGUGUGUGAAACGGAG
This 293-nucleotide unclassified non-coding RNA is filed under the name Hevea brasiliensis (rubber tree). Lineage: Eukaryota; Viridiplantae; Streptophyta; Magnoliopsida; Malpighiales; Euphorbiaceae. The record is from RNAcentral.